GUAUUGUAUUGCGUUAAACGCGGUGUACAUUCCAUGAGACUUGGUUACAGUGUGUGUGUGUUAAAUCCAUAGGACCACAGCAGGGGGGACGGUGCCCCCAGGCCACAGAACUAUGAAGGGUGCACAGGUGUAAGUGGAUGUGUAAACAGAGCGUGCACAUGCCCCCGUUUGAGGACCAGCAACAGCUCGUGUUGACAAUUCGGUAAUGAUCCUUCCGCAGGUUCACCUACGGAAA
This 235-nucleotide unclassified non-coding RNA is filed under the name uncultured fungus. RNAcentral describes it as "sequence contains ITS1". The record is from RNAcentral. Lineage: Eukaryota; Fungi.